This 475-nucleotide long non-coding RNA is filed under the name Anas platyrhynchos platyrhynchos (common mallard). Its description in RNAcentral is "lncRNA (ENSAPLG00000027044.1)". The record is from RNAcentral. Lineage: Eukaryota; Metazoa; Chordata; Aves; Anseriformes; Anatidae.
AUGAAGCGUGUUCUGCAGCCUUCUUACCCAAGGAAGAGAAGAAUGGUGAUAAUCCAGAGCUGUGCUCAUGUUUCCUACCUCCUGACUGGGCCCCUGCCUGAGGUGGAGCUAACUGACCAGGACACACGAAACUGCUGGACACAACAUGAGAAACUGCUGGCUGUGAGAGGUGACAUUCAGAGAGCCAGCAGAGGAAGGUCUCUGCCUCCAGAAGCAAAUGCCAGUAAUCCUAGCUCGGCUGUGACUGUGCUGAUAAGAAGGUCUGGAAAAGGAAGUGAGAAGUUACGAGAUGCUACUGCAAAGGUCUCUGUGUCGUUAGUCUGGCCCAUUAGGUCAGCUGUCCCACGCUCUUCAGGUUUUGUGAGGUUAAAAUAUUCCAAAACCACAGAAAUUCCAAUCUUAAAUGGAGAUGACUAAAUCAGAAUCAGAAGGUCACAAAGGAAGCUGGAACAUUCUCUGGAACUUUUCUCUAGAG